GAUGAACGCUGGCGGCGUGCCUAAUACAUGCAAGUCGAGCGAACAGAUGAGGAGCUUGCUCCGCUGACGUUAGCGGCGGACGGGUGAGUAACACGUGGAUAACCUACCUAUAAGACUGGGAUAACUUCGGGAAACCGGAGCUAAUACCGGAGAAUAUAUUGAACCGCAUGGUUCAAUAGUGAAAGACGGUUUUGCUGUCACUUAUAGAUGGAUCCGCGCCGCAUUAGCUAGUUGGUAAGGUAACGGCUUACCAAGGCAACGAUGCGUAGCCAACCUGAGAGGGUGGUCGGCCACCCUGGAACUGAGACACGGUCCAGACUCCUACGGGAGGCCGCAGUAGGGAAUCUUCCGCAAUGGGCGAAAGCCUGACGGAGCAACGCCGCGUGAGUGAUGACGGUCUUCGGAUCGUAAAACUCUGUUAUUAGGGAAGAACCAAUGUGUACGUAACUAUGCACGUCUUGACGGUACCUAAUCAGAAAGCCACGGCUAACUACGUG
RNAcentral lists this ribosomal RNA (497 nucleotides) under uncultured bacterium. RNAcentral describes it as "partial 16S ribosomal RNA". It matches the Rfam family "Bacterial small subunit ribosomal RNA", at positions 28 to 507 of the family's 1533-position model. The record is from RNAcentral.